Molecule: ribosomal RNA, 750 nt
Filed under: Isoptericola halotolerans
Lineage: Bacteria; Bacillati; Actinomycetota; Actinomycetes; Micrococcales; Promicromonosporaceae
Description: bacterial SSU rRNA
Rfam family: Bacterial small subunit ribosomal RNA
Source: RNAcentral
GCUGGGUGGAUCAGUGGCGAACGGGUGAGUAACACGUGAGCAACCUGCCCUCCACUUCGGGAUAAGCCUUGGAAACGGGGUCUAAUACCGGAUAUGAGCACCUUCCGCAUGGUGGGUGUUGGAAAGUUUUUCGGUGGGGGAUGGGCUCGCGGCCUAUCAGCUUGUUGGUGGGGUAAUGGCCUACCAAGGCGUCGACGGGUAGCCGGCCUGAGAGGGCGACCGGCCACACUGGGACUGAGACACGGCCCAGACUCCUACGGGAGGCAGCAGUGGGGAAUAUUGCACAAUGGGCGAAAGCCUGAUGCAGCGACGCCGCGUGAGGGAUGACGGCCUUCGGGUUGUAAACCUCUUUCAGCAGGGAAGAAGGCCUUCGGGUGGACGGUACCUGCAGAAGAAGCGCCGGCUAACUACGUGCCAGCAGCCGCGGUAAUACGUAGGGCGCAAGCGUUGUCCGGAAUUAUUGGGCGUAAAGAGCUCGUAGGCGGUCUGUCGCGUCUGGUGUGAAAACCCGAGGCUCAACCUCGGGCUUGCAUCGGGUACGGGCAGACUAGAGUGCGGUAGGGGAGACUGGAAUUCCUGGUGUAGCGGUGGAAUGCGCAGAUAUCAGGAGGAACACCGAUGGCGAAGGCAGGUCUCUGGGCCGCAACUGACGCUGAGGAGCGAAAGCAUGGGGAGCGAACAGGAUUAGAUACCCUGGUAGUCCAUGCCGUAAACGUUGGGCACUAGGUGUGGGGCUCAUUCCACGAGUUC